CUUUAAAGAAGAAAGGGGAUUUAUCCAGUACAACUGAGGAGGACAUAUCAACCUUCUCUCUCUUUUUCUUUGGAGCUCUGAAAAUGGCGCAACCUCAGUAGCCAUCAUCUGCCUUGCCCUUCCUCCUCCAACUUUUGCAACAAAAUGCGCUCAAAGGACAAAAUCGCCUAUUUUUACGACGGGGAUGUGGGUAGCGUCUACUUUGGACCGAACCAUCCCAUGAAACCACACCGACUAUGUAUGACCCAUCAUCUUGUCCUCUCAUAUGACCUCCACAAGAAGAUGGAAAUUUAUCGGCCCCAUAAGGCCUAUCCGGUGGAGCUUGCGCAAUUCCAUUCAGCUGACUAUGUCGAGUUUCUACAUCGGAUUACGCCUGACACACAGCACUUGUUCUCGAAUGAACUGGCAAGAUAUAAUCUUGGAGAAGAUUGCCCUGUAUUUGAUAACUUGUUUGAAUUUUGUCAAAUUUAUGCUGGUGGAACAAUAGAUGCUGCACGUAGGUUGAACAAUAAACUUUGUGACAUUGCUAUAAAUUGGGCUGGCGGACUACACCACGCCAAGAAGUGCGAGGCAUCCGGAUUUUGUUACAUCAAUGACUUGGUCUUGGGGAUCUUGGAGCUUCUAAAACAUCAUGCCCGAGUAUUGUACAUUGACAUAGAUGUGCAUCAUGGUGAUGGCGUAGAAGAAGCUUUUUAUUUUACUGAUAGGGUGAUGACGGUUAGUUUUCACAAAUUUGGGGAUAUGUUUUUCCCUGGAACGGGUGAUGUUAAGGAAGUAGGAGAAAGAGAAGGAAAGUUUUAUGCCAUCAAUGUCCCACUGAAGGAUGGAAUAGAUGACACUAGCUUCAAUAGACUUUUCAAGACUAUUAUUUCCAAGGUUGUUGAAACAUAUCUACCAGGCGUGAUAGUUCUCCAAUGUGGGGCAGAUUCUCUUGCUGGAGACCGCUUGGGCUGCUUCAAUCUCUCCAUUGAUGGUCAUGCUGAUUGUGUUAGGUUUGUGAAGAAAUUCAAUUUACCCUUACUGGUUACAGGAGGUGGUGGAUACACGAAAGAGAAUGUUGCUCGGUGUUGGACUGUUGAAACUGGAGUUCUUCUUGAUUCAGAACUUCCUAAUGAGAUCCCGGAAAACGAGUAUAUCAAGUAUUUUUCUCCCGACUUCUCUUUGAGGAUUCCAAAUGGACAUAUAGAGAACCUAAAUAGUAAAUCCUAUAUUAGCACGAUUAAAACGCAAGUCUUGGAAAAUCUCCGUUGCAUCCAACAUGCUCCUAAUGUACAAAUGCAAGAGUUUCCUUGAUCCCACAUGAUGGUAUUAGGUUGAUUCUGAUACCAUUUAUCACAACUCAAGGAUGCAUUCACCCCAUUGACGUGAUAUUUGAAAAGGCUAGUGACUGAUGAGACUUCUGGUUCCACCUGACUUUUAUAUUCCCGAUUUUGAUGAAGAUGCGCAGAACCCUGAUGAACGCGUGGAUCAGCACACCGAAGACAAGCACAUUCAGCGUGAUGAUGAAUAUUACGAAGGAGACAAUGAUAAUGAUCACAACAUGGAUGAUGUGUAAAAUUGGCAUGAACACCGUUUAUUCUUUUGGACAUAAUUUACUUCCUUUUCAGUAAGGGAAUGUUUAACUAGAUGCUGAAUUAUGUUAAGGCCUGUUCAUCAAGAAACAAGGAAUUCACAGAUGUGCCUGUUCAUAUUGGUUUUGAGUUAUUCCAGUGGGUCAGAGGUGUUCAUCUUACGCUUUAUUUGAUGUACAGAUUCGGCAUGUUUGUGAAAUUUUAGAAGCACGGGAACUGAUAGAAGCUAUA
Molecule: RNA transcript, 1802 nt
Organism: Prunus mume (Japanese apricot)
Lineage: Eukaryota; Viridiplantae; Streptophyta; Magnoliopsida; Rosales; Rosaceae
Gene: HDA9
Gene name: histone deacetylase 9
Source: RefSeq, a predicted model, not a curated record